UUUAUGGAGAGUUUGAUCCUGGCUCAGGAUGAACGCUGGCGGCGUGCCUAAUACAUGCAAGUCGAGCGAACAGAUAAGGAGCUUGCUCCUUUGACGUUAGCGGCGGACGGGUG
Molecule: ribosomal RNA, 113 nt
Filed under: Staphylococcus delphini
Lineage: Bacteria; Bacillati; Bacillota; Bacilli; Caryophanales; Staphylococcaceae
Also listed under: 1 other name
Description: partial 16S ribosomal RNA
Rfam family: Bacterial small subunit ribosomal RNA
Source: RNAcentral